RNAcentral lists this ribosomal RNA (658 nucleotides) under uncultured microorganism. Its description in RNAcentral is "bacterial SSU rRNA". It matches the Rfam family "Bacterial small subunit ribosomal RNA", at positions 151 to 809 of the family's 1533-position model. The record is from RNAcentral.
GAGAAAUUCGGAUUAAUACCCCAUAGUAUCAUAAAGCAGCAUUGUUUAAUGAUUAAAGAUUUAUUGGUAGUAGAUGGGCAUGCGUGACAUUAGCUAGUUGGUAGGGUAAUGGCUUACCAAGGCAACGAUGUCUAGGGGACCUGAGAGGGUGAUCCCCCACACUGGUACUGAGACACGGACCAGACUCCUACGGGAGGCAGCAGUAGGGAAUAUUGGUCAAUGGAGGCAACUCUGAACCAGCCAUGCCGCGUGUAGGAAGACGGCCUUCUGGGUUGUAAACUACUUUUAUACGGGAAGAGAUAGCCUUGCGAGGUGAAGGGACGGUACCGUAAGAAUAAGCACCGGCUAACUCCGUGCCAGCAGCCGCGGUAAUACGGAGGGUGCAAGCGUUGUCCGGAAUUAUUGGGUUUAAAGGGUGCGUAGGCGGUCUAAUAAGUCAGAGGUGAAAUCCCACAGCUUAACUGUGGAACUGCCUUUGAUACUGUUAGACUUGAAUAAAGUAAAGGUAGGCGGAAUUUAUUGUGUAGCGGUGAAAUGCAUAGAUACGAUAAAGAACUCCAAUAGCGAAGGCAGCUUACUGGACUUAUAUUGACGCUGAGGCACGAAAGCGUGGGUAGCGAACGGGAUUAGAUACCCCGGUAGUCCACGCCGUAAACGA